This 475-nucleotide ribosomal RNA is filed under the name uncultured bacterium. RNAcentral describes it as "bacterial SSU rRNA". It matches the Rfam family "Bacterial small subunit ribosomal RNA", at positions 355 to 825 of the family's 1533-position model. The record is from RNAcentral.
UGGGGAAUAUUGCGCAAUGGGGGGAAACCCUGACGCAGCAACGCCGCGUGAGUGACGAAGGCCUUCGGGUCGUAAAGCUCUGUCGGAGGGAACGAAUGCUCCUGAAGUUAACAGCCUCAGGAGGUGACGGUACCCUCAAAGGAAGCACCGGCUAACUUCGUGCCAGCAGCCGCGGUAAUACGAAGGGGGCUAGCGUUGUUCGGAAUUACUGGGCGUAAAGCGCACGUAGGCGGACUUUCAAGUCAGGGGUGAAAUCCCGGGGCUCAACCUCGGAACUGCCUCUGAUACUGUUGGUCUUGAAUCCGGUAGAGGUGGGUGGAAUUCCGUAGUGUAGAGGUGAAAUUCGUAGAUAUUGGGAGGAACACCGGUGGCGAAAGCGGUUCUCUGGAUCGAUACUGACGCUAAGACGCGAAAGCGUGGGGAGCAAACAGGAUUAGAUACCCAUGUAGUCCCUGAGCGGGCUGGCAAGGCGCAU